Brienomyrus brachyistius is the source of this 532-nucleotide long non-coding RNA. RefSeq lists it as uncharacterized. The transcript has 4 exons. The record is from RefSeq and is a predicted model, not a curated record. Lineage: Eukaryota; Metazoa; Chordata; Actinopteri; Osteoglossiformes; Mormyridae.
AAACUUAACGUAAUUUUCUAGACGGUGAACAAGCUGGAUUAAAAAGAGAUAAAAGCUUUUUCUUUUGGAGAACUAAAACAUUAAAGAAAUAUCCAGAGAGCGAGACAACAUUGGUUGUGAUGGCUGAACUUUUUUUCCCUGGUACUAGUCACUCGUGAGGCACGGAGCUGCUGCGUGAGCACAUUUUGACCAGAGGUCAGGUCCUGGAGCUGCAUUCGAAUAUCGUUGGAUGUCGACUGCGAGUCACCCAAGGAACUGAACUGAUUCUCGCGUUGACAACUCAUAUUCAUUUAACUACCGGAUUUGUGGUAUACUGGUCCAAGAUUUGCACAAGAUUGACCACACCUAGAGUUAAACCAACAAGGUUGCCACAGGCAAUCCAGCCAGGCGCUACAAAUACCCACAAGUCCAUCAAUCCUGGUGAAGACUUGCUCCAUGGAUGGCCGAGGCUGCCCUUGGCCUCCCUUCAAUCACCGAUCACUGGAGCCGUUGAAGUCCAUGGUGCGCUUUCUGCAAUCCAGGUACUCCAACC